RNAcentral lists this ribosomal RNA (253 nucleotides) under uncultured bacterium. RNAcentral describes it as "partial 16S ribosomal RNA". It matches the Rfam family "Bacterial small subunit ribosomal RNA", at positions 524 to 776 of the family's 1533-position model. The record is from RNAcentral.
UACGUAGGUGGCAAGCGUUGUCCGGAUUUACUGGGUGUAAAGGGCGUGCAGCCGGAGAGACAAGUCAGAUGUGAAAUCCACGGGCUCAACCCGUGAACUGCAUUUGAAACUGUUUCCCUUGAGUGUCGGAGAGGUAAUCGGAAUUCCUUGUGUAGCGGUGAGAUGCGUAGAUAUAAGGAAGAACACCAGUGGCGAAGGCGGAUUACUGGACGAUAACUGACGGUGAGGCGCGAAAGCGUGGGGAGCAAACAGG